RNAcentral lists this long non-coding RNA (2757 nucleotides) under Ananas comosus (pineapple). RNAcentral describes it as "long non-coding RNA (ACOM_LNC018365)". Lineage: Eukaryota; Viridiplantae; Streptophyta; Magnoliopsida; Poales; Bromeliaceae. The record is from RNAcentral.
UCUCUCUCUCUCUCUCUAUAUAUAUAUAUAUAUAAUUAGGCUACUAUACUAUCUAUAGUACGGGAGCUCCCGUACUAUAGUGUUGUUUUCGAUCUUAGGGCAUUCAAAUCAACGAUCCACACCGUUAAAUAUGAUCUAGGGUAUAUGAAAUUCUUAGAAAUAAAAUUUUAGUUCUUUUCAAUAUCGUUUACUUAGUAAAUAAAUUAUGUCAAAAUGGACGGUGGGAAUUGAAUACUCUUUAAAAUUUGAGCAUAGGACUUUUAAAUUCAAGAUCAAGAAUGUUAAUCUUAAUCUAUAUAGUUUAAAGAAUUUUCUAUCAAAAUUUGAAGAAAUUUAGAUUCUUCUACACCGUUAAACUCCAAACUCGUCAUAAUAGUCUUUGAAAAUUGACAAUUUUGAAAUAGUUUGAUCAUAAAGUAAACUUUGUCGAAAAAAUAUAAAAUUUUACUUCUAGAAACUUUAAAUANAAACGGUCUAUAGCGACACUUUUAAAUGUAGGUACAUGUCAAAAAAGUGCCGCUAGCUAAAAUUACCGACACUUUUAAAAGUGUUGCUAUAUGUGGGGUCGCUAAGUAUAUAGUGACAGUUAAAGAGUGUCGCUAUAACCUAAAAAGUGCUGCUAAUUUACCAACACUUAUUUAAGCAUUUAGCAACCGCCGAAACUCUAUCUCGUUGGCUGCGGUGGCGGAGGAGGACGACAGGAAAGGCUUUUCGUCUAGAAUUUCAAUGAAUUGAGUGAAGAGAGAAGAAAAGAUGGUAAUUGAUUUUUCUUUUUUUUUUCUUUUCUGUUUGUAAUCGGGCCAAAUGAACUGGGUGUGGUGGGUUGAGUAGAGUAAUCUUUUAUUUUUAAUUGGAUUGGGCUUUAUAUUUAGGCAUUAGUAAAUAUUUUUUAAGUUUUAGCAUAAAUGAAACACUUACUCAAAAGUGUCCCAAACAUGUGUCCCUAUAACCUAAUUCUGUUGUAGUGUGAAAAUGAUCCAAAGGGUAGAUCCAACGGCAGAAAACUUGGUAGCACUAAAUACUUCGUGCUAUUAAUAACAUAGUAGCCGGACUCUACAUAUAUAUAUAUAUAGAAUUAGGCUACUAGACUAUCUAUAGAACCGGAGCCCCAGUACUAUAGUCUUGUUUUCGAUUUUAGAGUAUUCAAAUUAACGAUCCACACCGUUAAAUAUGAUUUAGGAUAUAUGAAGUUCUUAGGAAUAAAAUUUUAGUUUUUUUCGACAUCGUUUACUUAGUAAAUAAAAUUAUGUCAAAAUAGAAGGUGGAAAUUGAAUAAUUUUUAAAAUUUGAGUAUAGGACUUUUAAAUUCAAGAUCAAGAAUAUUAACCUUAAUCUAGAUAGUUUAAAAUAUUUUCUAUCAAAAUUUGAAAAAAUUUAGAUUCUUCUACACCGUUAAACUCCAAACUCGCCAUAGUAGCCAUUGAAAAUUGACAAUUUUGAAAUGGUUUGAUCAUAAAGUAAACUAUGUCGAAAAAAUACAAAAUUUUAUUUCUAAAAACUUUAAAUACUCUAGAUCAGUUUUAACGGUGUGGAUCGUUGAUUUGAAUACCCUAAAAUCGAAAACGAGACUAUAGUACCUGAGCUCCGGUACUAUAGAUAGUACAGAAGACUAGCUAUAUAUAUAGAGAGAGAGAGAGGGAGAGAGUAAGGCUACUAUGCUUCUGUAAAUACGGAGUCUUCCGUGCUUUCAGAUCAUUUUUCAUGUUGCGACUUUCGAAUCGUCGAUCGGCUCCGUUAAACUUGAUCUAGAGUAUUUGAAGUACCUAGAAAAUAAACUAUACGAUUUUUCGAUAUUAUUUGUCUAGUGAACGAAGGGGUUCAAAAUCAACGGCUGAAAAUAAAAAUCUUACAAAACGUAAUAAUAUGACAUUAAAAUUUUAGAUCAAAGAUAUUGAUCUUGUUUUAUAUAGUAUAAAGAAUUUUCUAUCAAAAUUUCACGGGAUUUGAAUAUUUCUACACCAUUAAACUUGCAAACGGCUCACUACGGCCAUUAAAAUUAUUGAUUUUGAGCCCCUUCGAUCACUAGGCAAAUAAUAUCGAAAAAUCAUAAAAUUUAUUUUCUAGAUACUUCAAAUACUCUAGAUCAAGUUUAACGGAGCCGAUCGACGAUUCGAAAGUCGCAACAUCGAAAACGAUCUGAAAGCACGGAAGGCUCCGUGCUUCCAAAAGCAUAGUAGCCUCAUAUAUAGUAGAGUUACUAUGCUAUUGGAAGCAUAGGGGAUUUAGUGCUUCUGACUUUUUGGCUCUUAGAUCAACUUCUUUGAUCAUUUCUAACCUUUGGAUUAAUACACCACUCAACCCUAGGGGUACUACUAAACCCUAGGAGGGACCGCAAUCAUCUCAACCGUAUAUUUCUUGAUCUAAGGAUCAGAAAGUUGGAAGUAUAAAACCCUCUAUACUUCCAAUAGCAUAGUAGCUCUACUACACUAUAUAUAUAUAUGAACAAACUAUCCUUUUUAUCAUUUGUUGUGAAGACGAGGAGCACAUGCUGUUGGCUUAAAUGGGCUAGCAUCCUGCCCUGUGGCAGGAGGCCAUGUGGGCCAAGUCAUGUUCGAAAUGGCGUGAGGCUGGGUGGGCCGAGUCAUGUUCGAAGUGGCGUGAGGUUGGUUGAACCGAGUCACAAUCGAGACCCGUGGGCUCUAUAUCUGUACGCUUUAAGUGAAUUGGUUGCAUAUUUCUAACAGCUCGAAUUUUUGGGAUUAAUGGUUAGCGCUAACGAUCCGACGCAUGCAUGUGUUGCAAAUUCUGGUCUAGUUG